UGGGGAAUUUUGGACAAUGGGGGAAACCCUGAUCCAGCCAUCCCGCGUGUGCGAUGAAGGCCUUCGGGUUGUAAAGCACUUUUGGCAGGAAAGAAACGUCAUGGGUUAAUACCCCGUGAAACUGACGGUACCUGCAGAAUAAGCACCGGCUAACUACGUGCCAGCAGCCGCGGUAAUACGUAGGGUGCAAGCGUUAAUCGGAAUUACUGGGCGUAAAGCGUGCGCAGGCGGUUCGGAAAGAAAGAUGUGAAAUCCCAGAGCUCAACUUUGGAACUGCAUUUUUAACUACCGGGCUAGAGUGUGUCAGAGGGAGGUGGAAUUCCGCGUGUAGCAGUGAAAUGCGUAGAUAUGCGGAGGAACACCGAUGGCGAAGGCAGCCUCCUGGGAUAACACUGACGCUCAUGCAAGAAAGCGUGGGGAGCAAACAGGA
RNAcentral lists this ribosomal RNA (430 nucleotides) under Acidobacteriota bacterium. Its description in RNAcentral is "Acidobacteria bacterium partial 16S ribosomal RNA". It matches the Rfam family "Bacterial small subunit ribosomal RNA", at positions 355 to 777 of the family's 1533-position model. The record is from RNAcentral. Lineage: Bacteria; Pseudomonadati; Acidobacteriota.